Long non-coding RNA from Lagenorhynchus albirostris (white-beaked dolphin), 1383 nucleotides. RefSeq lists it as uncharacterized. Lineage: Eukaryota; Metazoa; Chordata; Mammalia; Artiodactyla; Delphinidae. The transcript is spliced from 3 exons. The record is from RefSeq and is a predicted model, not a curated record.
ACUUGGGAGGCAGAACUUCAUCUCCACAAGAGAGGCACAGACGGGCCCCCCUCAAGCUGAUCUUUCACGCCCCUUGGCUGCCCUUGGCUUGUGGGUGGCCGAACCCCAUAGAGUUUGAGCUCUGGCGUCAGGUUGCUCAGAGUCUAACCCAGACUCCAACACUUCGUAGUGUGGCAACCUUGGGCACCGUCUUAGUCUCCCUGUGGCUCCGUUUCUUCAUCUGUGGCAUGAGACAGCGUCGGACUCAAACCCAGAUGAAACACUCCUGAGAAUCUGUUCAUUCACUGGACAUGGGAGACUUGGGGGCAGGAUGUGCUGUCCCCUUAACUCAGCCAUCUGUCACUCUGUAAAUUUUACUCAUGGAUUUCAAAUGUGGAAGGCCCCUGUGGCCCAGGUCGUCCUCCCAUCCCCUGAGGAGAAGACGUUGAUGAGUCCUCUAACAUCAGCCUAUUCAAUCAGGUGACUCUCCAGCUCAAGGUCCUUCAAUGGCUCCGCACUGCUCUCAAGGUGGAGCCCAAGCUCCUUAGCCUGCCACGCACAGCUCUGCAGCACCCGGCCCUGCCUGCUUUUUUAGGGGGCAGCCCAGUCCUGUGCCUGCCCUGGCAGGAAACAGAGGGUUGCCCGAGCUGACCUCUCUCUAGGCCAACACCACGAGGGAACCCUCCACCUCCGCUCGCUCUGCACUUACCCAGGCUUUCCACCAGGCCAUCUGGUUUACCUCAGCGUGCCUUUCGUCAGGGAGAUGAAGAUGUACCGGUCAGGCCUCCCUCCACUCUGAGACUCUGCACACUUGGCCCUGCCGCACUCAGAAGAGCAGGUGGCUUGGGGGUGGGUGUGGUGGCACCAGCAUGCAGGCCCCAGGCCCCACCCCGUACCACACCUGCACACACCCCGCGCUGCCCCCGGGCUCUGGGCUCCUCCUGUGGCUCUCAGGCCCCACCCUGGCACCGGCCCAAAUGCCCUGUGGAAACACACCGCUCGCCGCCAAAUGUCUGAGCUGUGGCUGUUACACAGACUGGGAAUGCUGAGCUCCAACCUGUGAAAACCCCACUUAGCAAACACGGGUCUUCAUUCGGUCUUUGCUAGACCUGAUCUAUAAAAAGGAGUCUGUUUAUUGCACGGCUUCUCCCCAGUGAACAAUGUAAUGGGGAGCUCCGCAAAGGACAUAAAAUAAUAGCAGCCUCCGCUGGUUGGGGCGUCUCUAUGCCUAGAUCCCUCUUUAAUCACUCUGUGCACUCUAUCCUCUUUAAUCUUUGCCACAAAAGUUAAAUGGAAACUCCAAGGUUUAGAUAAUUGGCAUAAGUCACACUUCUGGUGGGAAAAAGCCACGUGAUCCACCAGGCCUCCUGGACUUGCCUGCUCUGCCACGGGCCCUGCAGGACA